AUCACUCUGUACAUCUCCAUCAUAGUUUUUACAUGCCCAUACAUAACCACCGUCACUUUUUAAAGCAUAAGCAACCAUAUCAUCAAUGAGGCGAUGUUCGUACCAGAUCCCAGCUUCCUCAAACUUUGACUUCCAUUUUGACUCGUAAACUUCCUGGAAUAUGUCCUUGAAUCUUCCGUCGUAUUUCUUAAGGAUGGUAUUUUUUGUG
This 208-nucleotide unclassified non-coding RNA is filed under the name Hevea brasiliensis (rubber tree). Lineage: Eukaryota; Viridiplantae; Streptophyta; Magnoliopsida; Malpighiales; Euphorbiaceae. The record is from RNAcentral.